Molecule: ribosomal RNA, 508 nt
Filed under: uncultured bacterium
Lineage: Bacteria
Description: partial 16S ribosomal RNA
Rfam family: Bacterial small subunit ribosomal RNA
Source: RNAcentral
GACGAACGCUGGCGGCGUGCCUAAUACAUGCAAGUCGAACGCUUCUUUCCUCCCGAGUGUUUGCACUCAAUUGGAAAGAGGAGUGGCGGACGGGUGAGUAACACGUGGGUAACCUACCCAUCAGAGGGGGAUAACACUUGGAAACAGGUGCUAAUACCGCAUAACAGUUUAUGCCGCAUGGCAUAAGAGUGAAAGGCGCUUUCGGGUGUCGCUGAUGGAUGGACCCGCGGUGCAUUAGCUAGUUGGUGAGGUAACGGCUCACCAAGGCCACGAUGCAUAGCCGACCUGAGAGGGUGAUCGGCCACACUGGGACUGAGACACGGCCCAGACUCCUACGGGAGGCAGCAGUAGGGAAUCUUCGGCAAUGGACGAAAGUCUGACCGAGCAACGCCGCGUGAGUGAAGAAGGUUUUCGGAUCGUAAAACUCUGUUGUUAGAGAAGAACAAGGACGUUAGUAACUGAACGUCCCCUGACGGUAUCUAACCAGAAAGCCACGGCUAACUACGUG